UUCUCCUACGGGGGGCAGCAGUGAGGAAUAUUGGUCAAUGGUCGGGAGACUGAACCAGCCAAGCCGCGUGAGGGAGGAAGGUACAGAGUAUCGUAAACCUCUUUUGUCAGGGAACAAAGGCGGGGACGUGUCCCCGGAUGAGUGUACCUGAAGAAAAAGCAUCGGCUAACUCCGUGCCAGCAGCCGCGGUAAUACGGAGGAUGCGAGCGUUAUCCGGAUUUAUUGGGUUUAAAGGGUGCGCAGGCGGCCUGUUAAGUCAGCGGUAAAAGCCCGGGGCUCAACCCCGGCGAGCCGUUGAAACUGGG
RNAcentral lists this ribosomal RNA (305 nucleotides) under uncultured bacterium. RNAcentral describes it as "bacterial SSU rRNA". It matches the Rfam family "Bacterial small subunit ribosomal RNA", at positions 334 to 637 of the family's 1533-position model. The record is from RNAcentral.